Molecule: long non-coding RNA, 1062 nt
Organism: Gasterosteus aculeatus aculeatus (three-spined stickleback)
Lineage: Eukaryota; Metazoa; Chordata; Actinopteri; Perciformes; Gasterosteidae
Source: Ensembl
AGCUGCUUAGUUAGCUUUGGCUAGCUGUGUGUGAAGCGAAACCAGGGAGUUUAGCCCCGGCUGGCUCUAAUUCCGCUCUCAUUGUGGAAAUGGGGCUAGCAGGAAAUGAGCUAUGGCUAGCCCCACACAGGAAGACGUACGACUUAAAAUAACCAGACAAGCUGGUCCUUUAAUGGUUGCAGUUAAGCAGAAGUUGAGGUAAACUGAACCUGGCUAAAGUGAUAGCCGCGGAAAGACGUUAGCACUCUUUGAGGCCCUGUAAUAAACCUUAAUGAACACUAGGGGCGAUGAUAGGAGACAGGUGGAAGUCUCUCUCUCACACACACACACACACACACACACACACACACACACAGAAAAUGGAUUUGUUCAGUUAAAGAAAAUAUCCACAAAAAAAGAAUUCCCCUCCCUACACCUAAAUAUCACUGAUAAUCGAACACAAAAUACUCGUCGUAGCCAAAUGUUCACGUCUCUGCAACUGAGAAUGAUUAUGAAUGAGAUCGACACGCACUGACGGGGUGAAGGCAUCAAAAGUGUGAUCGAUUAAAAAAGAAACAACAUGGCGACAACACAAACUGAUCAACACUCUCUAACUGCCCCCCCCCCCCAACCCAACCCCCCCUCCAGGGUUCUCACAAAGAUGCCACUUGGACAAGUCCGUGGACACGUUUUCUGGUGGUGGUUGUGAGUUUCUUCCAGUUACAAAAAAAGCUUCCUUUGUCGUAUCACACAGCCCCCCGGGGGGGGGGGGGGGUCAUUGCUGGUGGAACUGGCUCAAGACCAGUUCGAUUUUAUGCAAAAAAAAAUGUCUCGAUACGUCUGGUGGGUCGCGGACAAAAAACAAAAGCCCACCCAAUCACUCAUUAGUCUGCCGUCAAAUGUGAAGAGACGGCGCCGCGAUUCAAUUACACAAGAAAUAAACUCUGACGUUGAUCAUCAAUCCUCAAACAAAACAGUAAAUCAUAACUUUAUACUUUUUAUUUUAUUAUACAUUACCGCGCACGGGAAAAGAAAUAAUGCAAAUCGUGUUGUUGGUAAAAAGCUAAAAAGAAUCCGCCCCCC